RNAcentral lists this non-coding RNA (385 nucleotides) under Hyaloperonospora arabidopsidis Emoy2. RNAcentral's name for it is "Bacterial large subunit ribosomal RNA". It matches the Rfam family "Bacterial large subunit ribosomal RNA", at positions 1644 to 2040 of the family's 2925-position model. Lineage: Eukaryota; Oomycota; Peronosporomycetes; Peronosporales; Peronosporaceae. The record is from Rfam by way of RNAcentral.
GAAACGGUAUGCGAAUAUCCUGAGCAAUUUCACCACUUUGAUAAGGUGAAUGAGAGAACUAUAUUGAAGGAACUCGGCAAAAUGACUUUGUAACUUCGGGAUAAAAAGUACCUAAUUUUAAAAAUUAGGUGUCACAAAAUAGGGGGUUGCGACUGUUUAAUAAAAACUUAGGACUCUGCUAAAUGGUAACAUGAUGUAUAGGGUCUGACACCUGCCCGGUGCUGGAAGAUUAAAAGGAAAUGUUUACGCAUUAAAUGGAAGUCCCAGUAAACGGCGGCCGUAACUCUGACGGUCCUAAGGUAGCGAAAUUCCUUGUCGGGUAAGUUCCGACCUGCAUGAAUGGUGUAACGACAUCCCCGCUGUCUCCAAUAUAGACUCAGUGAAU